AUUGAACGCUGGCGGCAUGCUUUACACAUGCAAGUCGAACGGUAACAGGCCUUCUGGUGCUGGCUUCUGGCGCAGGCGUGUGUAUUACGCCUAAACGUCUCCCUAGGUGUGGGGUAGCGCAUCGAAAGCUGUGCUCUUACCCCAUGUGCUCUCUGGGUGAAAGCGUGGGAGCUAUUCGCACUUUUUGCUCUCGCGCCUUUCUAGCUCCGGAUGUCGGAUUAGCUAGUUGGUGGGGUAAAGGCCUACCAAGGCGACGAUCCGUAGCUGGUCUGAGAGGACGAUCAGCCACACUGGGACUGAGACACGGCCCAGACUCCUACGGGAGGCAGCAGUGGGGAAUAUUGGACAAUGGGCGAAAGCCUGAUCCAGCAAUGCCGCGUGCGGGAAGAAGGUCUUCGGGUUGUAAAGCGCUUUUGGCAGGAACGAAACGGAGUAAGCUAAUACCGGGCGGUAAUGACGGUACCAGCAGAAUAAGCACCGGCUAACUACGUG
RNAcentral lists this ribosomal RNA (492 nucleotides) under uncultured bacterium. Its description in RNAcentral is "partial 16S ribosomal RNA". It matches the Rfam family "Bacterial small subunit ribosomal RNA", at positions 30 to 507 of the family's 1533-position model. The record is from RNAcentral.